Molecule: long non-coding RNA, 508 nt
Filed under: Ananas comosus (pineapple)
Lineage: Eukaryota; Viridiplantae; Streptophyta; Magnoliopsida; Poales; Bromeliaceae
Description: long non-coding RNA (ACOM_LNC038856)
Source: RNAcentral
UCCAUGAUCAUCACCGUAUCUCAUAUAUCACAUGCAUAAUAAUAAAUUUUGGAUAUUCUAAUUAACCGUUAACUGAUGAUUCGAAAAAAUAAAUUAUUAAAAAUAAUCAAUCUUAUUGAUUAUUAUAAUUUCGAUCAACAAUUUAAUCUACAAAAAUAAUAUCUUGAUCUCAUCAAGAAAUCAAUUUGAUCUAAUCAAAUUAGAUCUUUUUCAUUAUCUUUUAUUUUCAAUCUAAUCAACCUUUUAAAAAAAAAAAUUAAAAAUUAAAAAUUUUAAAAAAAAAAUUCCGUCCGUACGGAUGCUACAGUAGCAUCCGUACGGAAGCUACAGUAAAAUCACUACAGUAACUUUUUUUUUCCUUUUUUUUUUUUUGAAAAUAGAAACCAUCGAUUAUAUUGUUAAUCACUUUGAUCUUUUCGAAUUUUCCAAAAACGAUCUAUAAAUCGUUUUCUCGGCAAAAAACGGUUUAGAAUACCCAAAAAUCAUAAUUUUAAUCUUAAAAACAUGA